GGCUUCCCUCUCUGUGUGGGAAAGGGCCGGGCGAGUAGUGGGAGCCACAGAGCCCUCGAGAAGGGCGUGGGUGCCAGGCCAGCUCCCCACAGCCUGUCCCCCAGGGUCCAUGGAAGGCCAGGCACACAGCGAGCUCUCUGUCACUCAGCGUGUGGGCUAAGCGUUGUCCCCUCUGGCCUCUGGUGGGAGAGGGUUGAUAGGAACGGUUUUCAUCAUUUCUGGAGACUUCUUCCAGUGCAAGGCAAUGUCCCAAGCACUUCAUCUUUGGAAUGGAUUCUGUUCUUGUUCCUGAGUGCUCGCUGCUCCUCCCAAGGGGACAGUCAUGUUCCCCACCCUGAGAAUGACUUGCAGGCCCGGGUCAGUCAAUGAGGCGGGAUUGGAAGCAACAGACUUCAGCAUCGGAGUUCCCUGAGCCAUUGUCAUCGCGUUCUGCUUCUCUUCCCUCCGAGCCAGCCCCGCCGGGCCCAGAAAGGGGUGGGUCCAGGUCGUGUCUGGUUCCCAGAAUAAAGACACGCGGCCAAACCACAAAGAACAUGUAACAGGAACAAGAAAUCGACCUUUGUUGUUGUAAGCCGCUGAGAUUUCGGGUUGUUUGCAGCAUAAUCUAGUGAAAGCUGGUGGUUACGCCAUGCAUCACCACAUUUAAUCCAAAGACUAGCCCUGGGGGGUAGGUAUUCAUAUACCCAUUUUCAUCAUUAAUACUCUAACCCCUCGAAAUCCUACAGAAGUAGUCUGAACGGCUCUGACUCCAAACCGAGUCAACUUUAAAGAAACAUUGGACGAGAGCCAAACUAAUUAAAAGGGAAUUUUUUUCUUGUUCCUUUAGGAAAAAACUGGAAAGGGGUCCACGUGAAACUCUUAAUUGAAUUCCUUCUCCUUCCUGCCCUCUAUCCCCCCACUCCCAGCUGCUCCCCAGCCUGUCACGGGUUCCUCAGAUUCUCUCCCACCUUUCUUCUCCUCUGCUCUCCUCUCUCCCUGCCAAAGCAGGCUAAUUUUUUUCCCCCAUUAGAAAAAGAUAUCGGAAACCCCGCUGUGUGAGGAACGCCAAAUCUCUGCUUUUUCAG
Long non-coding RNA from Bos taurus (domestic cattle), 1064 nucleotides. NCBI's taxonomy places the organism in Eukaryota, Metazoa, Chordata, Mammalia, Artiodactyla, Bovidae. The record is from Ensembl.